Molecule: long non-coding RNA, 596 nt
Organism: Pecten maximus
Lineage: Eukaryota; Metazoa; Mollusca; Bivalvia; Pectinida; Pectinidae
Exons: 2
Source: RefSeq, a predicted model, not a curated record
UUUUAGAUAUUUUAAUGACGCAUGGAAGUGUGUCAUGUUGUAAUAUCUGUAGAAAAUGCAGCUUACAAUAACCAGUAAUUGAUAAAAAAGGAAUUAUUCCUUAUGUUUACAUUUUAACCUGUGUUUUACAUGCUGUAAGACUUACUGUAUCUAGGUGUGUAUAUACAAUAAGACUUACUGUAUCUAGGUGUGUAUAUACAAUAAGACUUACUGUAUCAGGUGUGUAUAUACAGUAAGACUUACUGUAUCUAGGUGUGUAUAUACAGUAAGACUUACUGUAUCUAGGUGUGUAUAUACAGUAAGACUUACUGUAUCUAGGUGUAUACAUACAGUAAGACUUACUGUAUCUAGGUGUGUAUAUACAGUAAGACUUACUGUACCUAGGUGUAUAUAGUAUACUUGCUCCAGCUUGUGAUAUCUCAAUGUACUUAGGUUGAGCUUGACCAACAUUUUUGACUACCAAAGUAUUGGAGUUCUACAUUUCUGAUAUAUCAGUCACAGAGAAGUUUUAUUUUAAUAAUAUUAUAUAUUCAUAAUUAUACAAGUUGUGAUAGAAAAUAUUACAGGUUAUUAAAAUUAUAAUUUUUUCUAAGAAA